GGAUGAACGUUGGCGGCGUGCCUAAUACAUGCAAGUCGAACGAAGACUGUAGUAAUACUGUCUUAGUGGCGAACGGGUGAGUAACGCGUGGGUGACCUGCCCCGAAGUGUGGGAUAACAGUCCGAAAGGAUUGCUAAUACUGCAUAAUAUCCAAGAGAUUAGAUGCUUUUGGAUUAAAGGAGUAAUUCGCUUCGGGAGGGGCCCGCGUCCCAUCAGCUAGUUGGUAAGGUAAUGGCUUACCAAGGCGAUGACGGGUAGGGGACCUGAGAGGGUGGCCCCCCACAAUGGAACUGAAACACGGUCCAUACACCUACGGGUGGCAGCAGUAGGGAAUAUUAGUAAUGGGCGAAAGCCUGAACUAGCAACGCCGCGUGUGCGAAGAAGGCCUUCGGGUCGUAAAGCACUUUUUGAGAGGAUGAGGAAGGACGGUACUCUCAGAAUAAGUCUCGGCUAACUACGUGCCAGCAGCCGCGGUAACACGUAGGAGGCAAACGUUAUCCGGAUUUACUGGGCGUAAAGCGCGUGUAGGUGGUUUGGUAAGUAGGGCGUGAAAGCUCCUGGCUCAACUGGGAGAGGACGUUCUAAACUACCAAGCUUGAGGAUGGUAGAGGGAGGUGGAAUUCCGGGUGUAGCGGUGGAAUGCGCAGAUAUCCGGAGGAACACCAGUGGCGAAGGCGGCCUCCUGGACCACUCCUGACACUCAGACGCGAAAGCUAGGGUAGCAAACGGGAUUAGAGACCCCGGUAGUCCUAGCCCUAAACGAUGUAGACUUGGCGUCGGUGGUUUAAUCGCCAUCGGUGUCGUAGCUAACGCGAUAAGUCUACCGCCUGGGGACUACGGCCGCAAGGUUAAAACUCAAAGGAAUUGACGGGUCCCCGCACAAGCAGCGGAGCGUGUGGUUUAAUUCGAUGCGACGCGAAGAACCUUACCUGGACUUGACAUGCAAGUGGUAGAACCCUGAAAGGGGGACGACCGUAGCAAUACGGAGCUUGCACAGGUGCUGCAUGGCUGUCGUCAGCUCGUGCCGUGAGGUGUUGGGUUAAGUCCCGCAACGAGCGCAACCCCUGUGGUUAGUUGCCCUUAUUCAGUUAGGCACUCUAGCCAGACUGCCUGUGAUAAGCAGGAGGAAGGUGGGGAUGACGUCAAGUCAGUAUGGUCCUUAUGUCCAGGGCUGCACACGUGCUACAAUGACCGGUACAGAAGGAAGCAAGGCCGCGAGGCGGAGCUAAUCCCCAAAACCGGUCUCAGUUCGGAUUGGAGUCUGCAACCCGACUCCAUGAAGCUGGAAUCGCUAGUAACGGCGCAUCAGCUACGGCGCCGUGAAUACGUUCCCGGGUCU
This 1339-nucleotide ribosomal RNA is filed under the name uncultured bacterium. RNAcentral describes it as "bacterial SSU rRNA". It matches the Rfam family "Bacterial small subunit ribosomal RNA", at positions 27 to 1381 of the family's 1533-position model. The record is from RNAcentral.